UUCGGUUGAUUGAUAGGAAUGCUUAGUGGCGGACUGGUGCGUAACACGUGAGUAACCUGCCCCGAAGAGUGGAAUAACACAGCGAAAGUUGUGCUAAUACCGCAUAACAUGGUUGUACCGCAUGGUGCUGACCAUCAAAGAUUUAUCGCUUUGGGAUGGACUCGCGUCCGAUUAGCUGGUUGGUGAGGUAACGGCUCACCAAGGCGACGAUCGGUAGCCGGACUGAGAGGUUGACCGGCCACAUUGGGACUGAGAUACGGCCCAGACUCC
Molecule: ribosomal RNA, 270 nt
Filed under: uncultured bacterium
Lineage: Bacteria
Description: partial 16S ribosomal RNA
Rfam family: Bacterial small subunit ribosomal RNA
Source: RNAcentral